RNAcentral lists this ribosomal RNA (1149 nucleotides) under Triticum aestivum (bread wheat). Its description in RNAcentral is "partial small subunit ribosomal RNA". Lineage: Eukaryota; Viridiplantae; Streptophyta; Magnoliopsida; Poales; Poaceae. The record is from RNAcentral.
UUCCAAGGGAAACACACAACUUCUGUUUCAGAGGCUGACAGGCAACGAAACAAAACAUCACAGAGGACAGGCUGCAAUGCAAGAAUGAGGGUGAAGGUGCAGGAGGAUAACACAUGUGUGGUAUUGGACAUUGAGUACAAUCAUAAUCACCACCUCAUGCAAUCUGAUGACAUGCUGGUAUUCUUGCACUCACACAAGAAUUAUGACCCCACUAUUUUGGAGUACGUAAAGCUCCUGCAGUACCAUGAUGUCAAGCAUACAACAAUCAUGUCCAUGCUAUCUGAAAAUGAAGAUGGAAGCUACUUCCUAAGCAUGACCGAACUGUAACGCCCACGAUGGAAAGCCAUGAAUGCAAGGAAAGAUGAUUUGGAUGAUGUAUUGACACUUGUAUCUUUCUUUAAAGACAUGAAGGCAAUCAAUGAUGAGUUUUUCUAUGACAUACAAUCCAAUGCAAGCUACCGAGGAGCGUAUCAAGACUUUGGCGAUUGCGUAACAUUCGACACAACUUACAAGACCAACAGAUUUCAUAUGCCUCUGGGAGUGUUUGUUGGAACCAACCAUCACUUGCAGUCAACGAUAUUUGCUGUUGCCCUAAUCAGAGACGAAGAUGCAAAGUCAUUCAAGUGGUUGUUUGAUACAUUUGUACGGUGCAUGAACAACAACCACCCAACUUGCAUUCUAACAAACCAGUGCCCGUCGAUGGCGAAAGCUAUACCACAAUCAUUCCCAAACACCGUCCACAAGCUAUGCCGUUGGCACAUCCUGAAGAAGUACAAGGAAUACCUCGCGUUGUUGUACAAAAAUUAUAAAACAUUCAAAGAGGAGUUCACAGCUAUAUUAAACUGGCCGCUGAUGCCAACGGAGUUUGAAGCUGCCUGGGCUGAACUCGUGCACAAGUACAACCUGGAGAACGACGAGAUGAUGAUGCGGCUGUGGAGUGAUAGGAAAAUGUGGAUUUCAGCAUAUUACAAGAACAUUUUCUAUGCUAGAAUGACUUCCACACAACGAAGCGAGAGCAUGAAUCAUGUGCUCAAGAGAUGGUUUGUCAAGGGGACCCAGAACCUACACAAGUUUUCUAGGCAGGUAAAUGCUUGCGUACAAACUCAGAUGCAGAAGGAGAACGAGCAAACAAUGACCAGCAUGGUAUGA